This 29-nucleotide non-coding RNA is filed under the name Mus musculus (house mouse). The record is from RNAcentral. Lineage: Eukaryota; Metazoa; Chordata; Mammalia; Rodentia; Muridae.
UCAGACUUUAUCUGGAAUCUGGGGCUGAC